Molecule: long non-coding RNA, 246 nt
Organism: Schistocerca gregaria
Lineage: Eukaryota; Metazoa; Arthropoda; Insecta; Orthoptera; Acrididae
Exons: 2
Source: RefSeq, a predicted model, not a curated record
UUAUAGUCAUUCGAACAUUACUGCAGCUAUGUUACAGUAUGUUACUCAAGGUCUGAACUACGAAUCGGAACUGGCACCCAGAUAAAUUGUGUGCAAUAGGAGGGUUUUGAGAAUUCCUGUCGGUGAUCAAUGUUCUGGCUGCAAGCGGUCCUUCCCUUGAUGCAGCGGAUACGGGGAGCAUCCGAUGUGGAUGCAAAAAUGAUUUCUUAAAGACAGAAGUACAAGGAAUAAAUCUAUAUGAUCAGA